GACGAACGCUGGCGGCAUGCCUAACACAUGCAAGUCGAACGGAGAUUACUUCGGUAAUCUUAGUGGCGAACGGGUGAGUAACGCGUAGGCAACCUGCCCUCUAGAUGGGGACAACAUCCCGAAAGGGGUGCUAAUACCGAAUGUGACAGAUUUUCCGCAUGGAAGAGCUGUGAAAGAUGGCCUCUAUUUAUAAGCUAUCGCUAGAGGAUGGGCCUGGGUCUGAUUAGCUAGUUGGUGGGGUAACGGCUCACCAAGGCGAUGAGCAGUAGCCGGGCUGGGGGGAAGAACGGCCACAUUUGGACUGAGACACGGCCCAUGCUCCUACGGGAGGCAGCAGUCGGGAAUCUUCCGCAAUGGGCGAAAGCCUGACGGAGCAAUGCCGCGUGAGUGAUGAAGGAAUUCGUUCCGUAAAGCUGUUUUGUUUAUGACGAAUGUGCGAGUUGUGAAUAAUGACUUGUAAUGACGGUAGUAAACGAAUAAGCCACGGCUAACUACGUGCCAGCCGCCGCAGUAA
This 514-nucleotide ribosomal RNA is filed under the name uncultured bacterium. RNAcentral's name for it is "partial 16S ribosomal RNA". It matches the Rfam family "Bacterial small subunit ribosomal RNA", at positions 28 to 523 of the family's 1533-position model. The record is from RNAcentral.